GUUAAGCGACUAAGCGUACACGGUGGAUGCCCUGGCAGUCAGAGGCGAUGAAGGGCGUGCUAAUCUGCGAUAAGCGCCGGUAAGGUGAUAUGAACCGUUAUAACCGGCGAUACCCGAAUGGGGAAACCCAGUGUGAUUCGUCACACUAUCAUUAACUGAAUCCAUAGGUUAAUGAGGCGAACCGGGGGAACUGAAACAUCUAAGUACCCCGAGGAAAAGAAAUCAACCGAGAUUCCCCCAGUAGCGGCGAGCGAACGGGGAGGAGCCCAGAGCCUGAAUCAGCAUGUGUGUUAGUGGAAGCGUCUGGAAAGGCGCGCGAUACAGGGUGACAGCCCCGUACACAAAAGCGCAUGUGCUGUGAGCUCGAUGAGUAGGGCGGGACACGUGGUAUCCUGUCUGAAUAUGGGGGGACCAUCCUCCAAGGCUAAAUACUCCUGACUGACCGAUAGUGAACCAGUACCGUGAGGGAAAGGCGAAAAGAACCCCGGCGAGGGGAGUGAAAAAGAACCUGAAACCGUGUACGUACAAGCAGUGGGAGCCCCACCACUAAGCCAGUGGUGAACUCCACAUACGCAUCCUUUGCUGAGGAGACGGUUAACGGAGCGAAAGCGACGUUCAACCUCAAAACAAGCAGAGGGGGCUUAGUGGUGGGGUGACUGCGUACCUUUUGUAUAAUGGGUCAGCGACUUAUAUUCUGUAGCAAGGUUAACCGAAUAGGGGAGCCGGAGGGAAACCGAGUCUUAAUUGGGCGUUAAGUUGCAGGGUAUAGACCCGAAACCCGG
Molecule: ribosomal RNA, 782 nt
Filed under: Salmonella enterica
Lineage: Bacteria; Pseudomonadati; Pseudomonadota; Gammaproteobacteria; Enterobacterales; Enterobacteriaceae
Description: partial 23S ribosomal RNA
Rfam family: Bacterial large subunit ribosomal RNA
Source: RNAcentral